UUAAUAGGUUUAAAGGGUACUUAGACGGUAAAUCAAGCCCUAAUAGGGAACUAAUAUACUAGAGUUUGAUGUAAGGAAGCAUGAAAGUACUGUUGGUGUAGAGAUAAAAUUCUAUCAUACCAAAUAUGGCACAGGUUUAGGCGAAAGCAUCCUCUUAUGUAAUAACUGACGUUGAAGGACGAAGGCUUUGUGUCUCGAACAGGAUUAGAUACCCCAGUAGUCUAAGCAGACAAUGAUGAAUGUCAUAGAUUAGAUUUAAUUUAUUCUAUAAAUGAAAGUGUAAGCAUUCCACCUCAAGAGUAAUUUGGCAACAUUGGAACUGAAAUCAUUAGACCGUUUCUGAAACCAGUAGUGAAGUAUGUUGUUUAAUUAGAUGGUACGCAAAAAACCUUACCACAAUUUGAAUUAGUAAUAUGUUUUCACAAGCGCUGCACGGCUGUC
Molecule: ribosomal RNA, 441 nt
Filed under: Lecidea andersonii
Lineage: Eukaryota; Fungi; Ascomycota; Lecanoromycetes; Lecideales; Lecideaceae
Description: SSU rRNA
Rfam family: Bacterial small subunit ribosomal RNA
Source: RNAcentral